GACGAACGCUGGCGGCGUGCUUAACACAUGCAAGUCGAACGGAAAGGCCCUGCUUUUGUGGGGUGCUCGAGUGGCGAACGGGUGAGUAACACGUGAGUAACCUGCCCUUGACUUUGGGAUAACUUCAGGAAACUGGGGCUAAUACCGGAUAGGAGCUCCUGCUGCAUGGUGGGGGUUGGAAAGUUUCGGCGGUUAGGGAUGGACUCGCGGCUUAUCAGCUUGUUGGUGGGGUAGUGGCUUACCAAGGCUUUGACGGGUAGCCGGCCUGAGAGGGAGACCGGCCACAUUGGGACUGAGAUACGGCCCAGACUCCUACGGGAGGCAGCAGUGGGGAAUAUUGCACAAUGGGCGGAAGCCUGAUGCAGCAACGCCGCGUGCGGGAUGACGGCCUUCGGGUUGUAAACCGCUUUCGCCUGUGACGAAGCGUGAGUGACGGUAAUGGGUAAAGAAGCACCGGCUAACUACGUG
RNAcentral lists this ribosomal RNA (468 nucleotides) under uncultured bacterium. RNAcentral's name for it is "partial 16S ribosomal RNA". It matches the Rfam family "Bacterial small subunit ribosomal RNA", at positions 28 to 507 of the family's 1533-position model. The record is from RNAcentral.